GAUCUUCAUUAGCUUGCUUUUGAAGAUCAGCGGCGGACGGGUGAGUAACACGUGGGCAACCUGCCUGUAAGACUGGGAUAACUUCGGGAAACCGGAGCUAAUACCGGAUAAUCCUUUCCCUCACAUGAGGGAAAGCUGAAAGACGGUUUCGGCUGUCACUUACAGAUGGGCCCGCGGCGCAUUAGCUAGUUGGUGAGGUAACGGCUCACCAAGGCAACGAUGCGUAGCCGACCUGAGAGGGUGAUCGGCCACACUGGGACUGAGACACGGCCCAGACUCCUACGGGAGGCAGCAGUAGGGAAUCUUCCGCAAUGGACGAAAGUCUGACGGAGCAACGCCGCGUGAACGAUGAAGGCUUUCGGGUCGUAAAGUUCUGUUGUUAGGGAAGAACAAGUACCGGAGUAACUGCCGGUACCUUGACGGUACCUAACCAGAAAGCCACGGCUAACUACGUGCCAGCAGCCGCGGUAAUACGUAGGUGGCAAGCGUUGUCCGGAAUUAUUGGGCGUAAAGCGCGCGCAGGCGGUUCCUUAAGUCUGAUGUGAAAGCCCCCGGCUCAACCGGGGAGGGUCAUUGGAAACUGGGGAACUUGAGUGCAGAAGAGGAGAGCGGAAUUCCACGUGUAGCGGUGAAAUGCGUAGAGAUGUGGAGGAACACCAGUGGCGAAGGCGGCUCUCUGGUCUGUAACUGACGCUGAGGCGCGAAAGCGUGGGGAGCGAACAGGAUUAGAUACCCUGGUAGUCCACGCCGUAAACG
RNAcentral lists this ribosomal RNA (756 nucleotides) under Bacillus sp. (in: firmicutes). RNAcentral describes it as "bacterial SSU rRNA". It matches the Rfam family "Bacterial small subunit ribosomal RNA", at positions 68 to 808 of the family's 1533-position model. Lineage: Bacteria; Bacillati; Bacillota; Bacilli; Caryophanales; Bacillaceae. The record is from RNAcentral.